AGUGAACGCUGGCGGUAGGCCUAACACAUGCAAGUCGAACGGCAGCACAGUAAGAGCUUGCUCUUACGGGUGGCGAGUGGCGGACGGGUGAGGAAUACAUCGGAAUCUACUUUUUCGUGGGGGAUAACGUAGGGAAACUUAUGCUAAUACCGCAUACGACCUACGGGUGAAAGCAGGGGAUCUUCGGACCUUGCGCGAUUGAAUGAGCCGAUGUCGGAUUAGCUAGUUGGCGGGGUAAAGGCCCACCAAGGCGACGAACCGUAGCUGGUCUGAGAGGAUGAUCAGCCACACUGGAACUGAGACACGGUCCAGACUCCUACGGGAGGCAGCAGUGGGGAAUAUUGGACAAUGGGCGCAAGCCUGAUCCAGCCAUACCGCGUGGGUGAAGAAGGCCUUCGGGUUGUAAAGCCCUUUUGUUGGGAAAGAAAAGCAGCAGGUUAAUACCCCGCUGUUCUGACGGUACCCAAAGAAUAAGCACCGGCUAACUUCGUG
Molecule: ribosomal RNA, 492 nt
Filed under: uncultured bacterium
Lineage: Bacteria
Description: partial 16S ribosomal RNA
Rfam family: Bacterial small subunit ribosomal RNA
Source: RNAcentral